CUGCGAGUUCGCGGGAGAGUAAGUUAUUGCCAGGGUUUUUGUUUUAUACUUUAAACAUUGAUUUUAUUUUUUAUAUUAUUUGGAUAAAACAUUCAAAAACAUAAAAAAUAAAACAUAUAUUGGCAUGGAUUAAACAAAGAUAUAUAUUAUUCUAUGUUGUAUAAACAAAUUGGCAAAAUAGAGAUGGAAGAUAAAAAUAUGGUCAAAGUAGUAAGAGUCUAUGGUGAAUGCCUAGGA
This 237-nucleotide unclassified non-coding RNA is filed under the name Borreliella garinii. RNAcentral describes it as "partial 5S-23S ribosomal RNA intergenic spacer". The record is from RNAcentral. Lineage: Bacteria; Pseudomonadati; Spirochaetota; Spirochaetia; Spirochaetales; Borreliaceae.